RNAcentral lists this ribosomal RNA (425 nucleotides) under uncultured Geovibrio sp. RNAcentral describes it as "bacterial SSU rRNA". It matches the Rfam family "Bacterial small subunit ribosomal RNA", at positions 356 to 774 of the family's 1533-position model. Lineage: Bacteria; Pseudomonadati; Deferribacterota; Deferribacteres; Deferribacterales; Geovibrionaceae. The record is from RNAcentral.
GGGGAAUUUUGCGCAAUGACCGUAAGGUUGACGCAGCAACGCCGCGUGUAUGAUGAAGGCUUUCGGGUCGUAAAGUACUUUCAGCAGGGAAGAAUGGUAAGGGGAGUAACUGCCCUUUAAUUGACGGUACCUGCAGAAGCAGCCCCGGCUAACUCCGUGCCAGCAGCCGCGGUAAUACGGAGGGGGCAAGCGUUGUUCGGAGUCACUGGGCGUAAAGGCUCGUAGGCGGCAGUGUAAGUCGGGAGUUAAAGGCAACAGCUUAACUGUUGUAAGGCUUUUGAAACUACAUUGCUAGAGUACCAGAGAGGUAAGCGGAAUUUCCUGUGUAGCGGUGAAAUGCGUAGAUAUAGGAAGGAACACCAGUGGCGAAGGCGACCACCUGGACUGAUUCUGACACUGAGGUGCGAAAGCGUGGGGAGCAAACA